CAUUAUACCGUGAAACUGCGAAUGGCUCAUUAAAUCAGUUAUCGUUUAUUUGAUAGUACCUUACUACUUGGAUACCUGUGGUAAUUCUAGAGCUAAUACAUGCUAAAAACCUCGACUUCGGAAGGGGUGUAUUUAUUAGAUAAAAAACCAAUGCCCUUCGGGGCUCCUUGGUGAUUCAUAAUAACUUCUCAGAUCGCAUGGCCUUGCGCCGGCGACGGUUCAUUCAAAUUUCUGCCCUAUCAACUUUCGAUGGUAAGGUAUUGGCUUACCAUGGUGGCAACGGGUAACGGGGAAUUAGGGUUCGAUUCCGGAGAGUUAGCCUGAGAAACGGCUAACACAUCCAAGGAAGGCAGCAGGCGCGCAAAUUACCCAAUCCCGAUACGGGGAGGUAGUGACAAUAAAUACUGAUACAGGGCUCUUUUGGGUCUUGUAAUUGGAAUGAGUACAAUUUAAACCUCUUAACGAGGAACAAUUGGAGGGCAAGUCUGGUGCCAGCAGCCGCGGUAAUUCCAGCUCCAAUAGCGUAUAUUAAAGUUGUUGCAGUUAAAAAGCUCGUAGUUGAACCUUUGGCCUGGCUGGCAGGUCCGCCUCACCGCGUGCACUUGUCCGGCCGGGCCUUUUCUUCUGGAGAACCGCAUGCCCUUCACUGGGUGUGUUGGGGACCAGGACUUUUACUUUGAAAAAAUUAGAGUGUUCAAAGCAGGCCUUUGCUCGAAUAUUACAGCAUGGAAUAAUAGAAUAGGACGUGCGGUUCUAUUUUGUUGGUUUCUAGGACCGCCGUAAUGAUUAAUAGGGACAGUCGGGGGCAUCAGUAUUCAAUUGUCAGAGGUGAAAUUCUUGGAUUUAUUGAAGACUAACUACUGCGAAAGCAUUUGCCAAGGAUGUUUUCAUUAAUCAGUGAACGAAAGUUAGGGGAUCGAAGACGAUCAGAUACCGUCGUAGUCUUAACCAUAAACUAUGCCGACUAGGGAUCGGGCGGUGUUACUAUUUUGACUCGCUCGGCACCUUACGAGAAAUCAAAGUGUUU
RNAcentral lists this ribosomal RNA (1027 nucleotides) under Stagonospora sp. RNAcentral's name for it is "SSU rRNA". It matches the Rfam family "Eukaryotic small subunit ribosomal RNA", at positions 72 to 1108 of the family's 1831-position model. Lineage: Eukaryota; Fungi; Ascomycota; Dothideomycetes; Pleosporales; Massarinaceae. The record is from RNAcentral.